CUCGAAAGGGGCUGCGUUCAUGUGAGGCACGUAGCAGUGAAUCCAUCUCAGUAGUCCCAAGCCUAUGUACUGGCAUGCACGUACUCUCCUCACGUUUGCCCACUUCAAACGCGUGUCCUCUUCCAGUCCUGUACGCCACCACUCCCCUUCGCCACUGCUUCCCUCCACCGCCCCAUUUCCCAUACUUAUACCGCGACCAGAGUCCCCAUCCCUCCGUGCCGAGCGCCCAGGUGAUGCGUUGGGGCCCCUGGAUGUGCGCAAAACGCGUGCGUCUUCCAGUUCUUGUGACACAUCUGCGCGCUGUUGCACGCCCAAUGUGGGGCUCGAACCCACGACCACAAGGUUAAGAGCCUUGCGCUCUACCGACUGAGCUAACCGGACACGAAGAGAUGCAGACACAGACACACACAGCCUCCACACACACACCAGCACCACACCUGAACACACAUCGGCAACCCCGCGUCCCCGGGCGCUCGUAACGGUCACUGCCAGGCGCCUCGCCCACCAGAUAACCCAGGCCCGCCGCUGCCUCUACUGCCCCAGCCCCUUGCACGUGCCCACCUCGCGCCCAGCCUCCUGCACCGCCCACAGCAAUUCCGCUCCCACUGACAUACAUACCGCAGCCGCCACAGCCGAAGGGAGGUGGUACGGAUGGCAAGUGCAUGCUCACAGCUAUGUUGCCCAGCUGUCGACGAGCCUGAGGUAUCUGGCGGACGAGGCGCCUGGCAGUGACCGUUACAAGCGCCUGCUGGGGACGCGGGGCUGCCACAGUGUGUUCAGGUGUGGUGCUCGUGAGUCCGUGUGGGCUGUGUGGGUCCUUGCCUGCAUCCCUUCGUGCCCGGUUAGCUCAGUCGGUAGAGCGCAAGGCUCUUAACCUUGUGGUCGUGGGUUCGAGCCCCACAUUGGGCGUGCAUCAGCGCGCAGAUGUGUCACAAGAACUGGAAGACGCACGCGUUUUGCGCACAUCCAGGGGCCCCACGAACCACCUGGGCACUCGGCACGGAGGGCACAGACCCGCAAUGCCAGGAGCGGACGAGAGGGGAGAGGAGGAGAGGGGGUAGGAGGAGAGGAGGUGGGCGGUGGCGGACGUACAUAGAAAGCAAAGGAGGCGAGCACGGAAGUACUGGAGGUGCGUGCUUGUUCAUCCGAAGGGAUUGCCACGCACCUUUUCGAUUAUGGGGGAAUUUCCUGGCUCUCCAAGGGUCAGGCAUGCAGACGCACGCACCGCACGUGCUGCCCCACGGUGCUGCCCUGACACUCGUAUGAAGUCCCGAUUCCGGAAUGCCGGUGUUUGCUCAAUCUGGGCGAUGCUACGGCGACUCAUGCCACCAUUGCUGUGACCGCAUCUCCCACGUCCGUGCCUCUGCCGUCCUGGGUGAGGCUGCAAGCAUGCACCUGGUGCCAUCGCACACCACGCCCAUGCCAUCGCCCCCACCAGCACUAGCCAGCAGCACCUCCUCACCUCGCAGCAGGACAUCGCCCCGUCCUGAGCAGCUGAGCGGCCGCCGCAUGCCUACAUCUGCAGCAUAGACUGACCAGCUCGAAGCCGGCGCUUUUCUCUUAUGUCUCAGUACAGUAACUCCAGCACUAUACCAGCCGCGCACUCUUGCCUUGACGGUGCAAAUUAAUUGUUGGGGUCUGGGAGUAAUGAGUAAUCUACACGUUACGGGACUACGCCAACCUGCCCCUUCCACUGUCCAUUCCUACGGAACAAGCGCCGGCCCAUGCCAAUGCCCCUGGACGCUGGGGCCCACCUGAUCCCAGGCCGGAGCCCAUGCCGUACAUGCCCGUGCCUGACUUCACAUCCGCCGCGACCGCGACGGCGGUCGGCCGGUCGCAUUCCCAGGUGGAUGCGGGGGUGAGGAGUAGCCACAGCCAUCAUGUACAGCUAAACUUGCAGAGCGCGCUCAUGUAAUGCGGUGCAGCCGAUGCUCUGCACUCUGCAGCGCGGGCGAACUCUUACACGCAGCGUCUGCAUGCACUCAAGGGUUGUGCACAGACGUGGGUGGCUUGCACUCAGUGCGCUGUGGCCGCCUCAAGGUGACCAAAUGUCCCGCCAACAAUGUGCACGCGUGUUUCUGUUUUCGAAUCGCGUCUCAAGACGCAGUGCGUCUUGUGCAUCGCGUGUGUGUGAGACGCGGCGCGUCUAGGGUAUCAGGCUAGCGUCUGGUGUGACGCAUCGCGUUAGCUAAGACGCGCUCUCCAUGCAAUUGUACCGCGUCACGACUCGCGUUCCAUUGCGUCUCGCAGACGCAGUGAAACGCGCUAUCUGCAAUGGUGCCCCGCUUCACUGUUUCUGGUUGCGUCCCCAUCGCGUCUCUCCCGCGUCUCCCCCGCGUUUCCCCCUUAACGCGCAGCGUCUCGGCGCGUCUGACACCGCGUCUCACAGGUCAGACGCGCCCAGACGCGGUUUCCCGUUGUUAUAGUGCACGUGCCGGGGAACGAGCGUAAAGGUAAAGCUACAAUCCUCUGUCUGGUCCGUUGCCGCGUGACUCAGCAUGAAUGUCUCUCCGUUCCUUCCCACCGCCCGCAUGUCGCCUAGUUGGCUUGCCUUGGGGCUUGGGCGCGUGCUACGCCCACUGACGAAGAAAUGCAGUUACUAAUUAGUGUUGCGGAACUAAUGCGUACGUAGACCAGAGCGGAAGGCGGAGUGGGCUUGCAGGCGGCACGAGAGUAGGCAGUCAGUAGCGCAAGUUGCGAAUUCACAUGUUACCUCGUAACCGACGGUAAACGCUGUGGACGGUCGCGCCCAUGGCUGGCUGACGGAAGGUGGCUGCUGUAUUGGGACGGCUGGGAUGGACGACGCCGGCCGGGCUGGCGUUGGGACUACCAGAAAGGAUGCGCCCGAAACCAACCUGGAGAACACCAGUUAGCCGUACGUAGCAGUGCAACUUGAUUGCUUCACCUGGCCCGCUGGUCUCGUUCAGGAUCCCAGGCGCGUAUUUUGUACGAGUGUCAGGGCAGCACCUGCGGUGCGCCUGCAUGCCUGACCCUUGGAGAGCCAGGAAAUUCCCCCAUAAUGGAAAAGGUGCGUGGCAAUCCCUUCGGAUGAACAAGCACGCACCUCCAGUACUUCCGUGCUCGCCUCCUUUGCUUUCUGUGUACGUCCGCCACCGCCCAUCUCCUCUCCUCCUACCCCGUCUCCUUCGCUCCCCUCUCGUCCGCUCCUGGCAUUGCGGAUCUGUGCCCUCCGUGCCGAGCGCCCAGGUGAUGCGUUGGGGCCCCUGGAUGUGCGCAAAACGCGUGCGUCUUCCAGUUCUUGUGACACAUCUGCGCGCUGAUGCACGCCCAAUGUGGGGCUCGAACCCACGACCACAAGGUUAAGAGCCUUGCGCUCUACCGACUGAGC
Molecule: long non-coding RNA, 3349 nt
Filed under: Chlamydomonas reinhardtii
Lineage: Eukaryota; Viridiplantae; Chlorophyta; Chlorophyceae; Chlamydomonadales; Chlamydomonadaceae
Description: long non-coding RNA (CREI_LNC000065)
Rfam family: tRNA (bases 837-909)
Source: RNAcentral